AACAGGAUUAGAUACCCUGGUAGUCCACGCUGUAAACGAUGUCGAUUUGGAGGUUGUGCCCUUGAGGAGUGGCUUCCGGAGCUAACGCGUUAAGUCGACCGCCUGGGGAGUACGGCCGCAAGGUUAAAACUCAAAUGAAUUGACGGGGGCCCGCACAAGCGGUGGAGCAUGUGGUUUAAUUCGAUGCAACGCGAAGAACCUUACCUACUCUUGACAUCCAGAGAACUUAGCAGAGAUGCUUUGGUGCCUUCGGGAACUCUGAGACAGGUGCUGCAUGGCUGUCGUCAGCUCGUGUUGUGAAAUGUUGGGUUAAGUCCCGCAACGAGCGCAACCCUUAUCCUUUGUUGCCAGCGGUUCGGCCGGGAACUCAAAGGAGACUGCCAGUGAUAAACUGGAGGAAGGUGGGGAUGACGUCAAGUCAUCAUGGCCCUUACGAGUAGGGCUACACACGUGCUACAAUGGCGCAUACAAAGAGAAGCGACCUCGCGAGAGCAAGCGGACCUCAUAAAGUGCGUCGUAGUCCGGAUCGGAGUCUGCAACUCGACUCCGUGAAGUCGGAAUCGCUAGUAAUCGUAGAUCAGAAUGCUACGGUGAAUACGUUCCCGGGCCUUGUACACACCGCCCGUCACACCAUGGGAGUGGGUUGCAAAAGAAGUAGGUAGCUUAACCUUCGGGAGGGCGCUUACCACUUUGUGAUUCAUGACUGGGGUGAAGUCGUAACAAGGUAACC
Molecule: ribosomal RNA, 730 nt
Filed under: uncultured bacterium
Lineage: Bacteria
Description: bacterial SSU rRNA
Rfam family: Bacterial small subunit ribosomal RNA
Source: RNAcentral